CCUACGGGUGGCAGCAGUGAGGAAUAUUGGUCAAUGGGCGCGAGCCUGAACCAGCCAAGUAGCGUGAAGGAUGACUGCCCUACGGGUUGUAAACUUCUUUUAUAAAGGAAUAAAGUGAGGCACGUGUGCCUUUUUGUAUGUACUUUAUGAUUAAGGAUCGGCUAACUCCGUGCCAGCAGCCGCGGUAAUACGGAGGAUCCGAUCGUUCUCCGGAUUUAUUGGGUUUAAAGGGACCGUAGAUGGGUUGUUAAGUCAGUUGUGAAAGUUUGAGGCUCAACCGGAAAAUUGCCAAUGAUACUGGCAGUCUAGAGUACAGCUGAGGGAGGCGGAAUUCGUGGUGUAGCGGUGAAAUGCGUAGAUAUCACGAAGAACUCCGAUUGCGAAGGCAGCUUACUAAGAUGCAACUGACAUUGAUGCUCGAAAGUGUGGGUAUCAAACAGGAUUAGAUACCCGUGUAGUC
Molecule: ribosomal RNA, 460 nt
Filed under: uncultured bacterium
Lineage: Bacteria
Description: partial 16S ribosomal RNA
Rfam family: Bacterial small subunit ribosomal RNA
Source: RNAcentral